Manihot esculenta (cassava) is the source of this 1398-nucleotide long non-coding RNA. RefSeq lists it as uncharacterized. The record is from RefSeq and is a predicted model, not a curated record. The transcript has 2 exons. NCBI's taxonomy places the organism in Eukaryota, Viridiplantae, Streptophyta, Magnoliopsida, Malpighiales, Euphorbiaceae.
UACAAAAAAAAAGAAGAUAGAAUGGCAUCAGUUCCUCUCCCAUAGAAUGGCAUCAUCGCCGCCUGGGGGAUUAAAAACAAAAGAGAGGAGAAUUUGGGGAAAGGAAGAAUUAGGAAACAGAGAGGGAAAAUGGGCAAAAUAAAUUGCCAUGGCCACCAAAACACCCCUCUUCUUUUUUCUUUGAAUUUUUAUCUCAAAAUCCAGCCAGAUCUUCUUGACCUGUACAUUUUUGAAAAAUUGCUCCUCCCUCUAUAUACCCAUCUGGUUCCAUUAGCGAUGGUAGCUCCCUCACCGUCUUUUUUCUGUAUGCACAAGAAGCUCAAAACCCAUUUGCUCGUCUCUCACAUCUCCUCUCCAUUUGCUAUUGUCGUGUUGCAGAUCACAAGUUGCUCUCUCUUUCUGACUCCAAAGCACUGAUUGAGACCCAUUUGCUUCAUUCUCUUUUCACCGACAUUCUCUCUGUGUAAAAGCUUAAAUCAGACUAAAACUCAUUCCUUCCUUCAUUCUUGCAGGUGAUAAUCGGUUUGUAAGUGGCUAAUAUUGGUAAUUUUCAUUUUUUUUUUCUCCAUACCCAAUAUUUUCUAUAUUUCAAUUUAUGAUUUUUCUUAUUUUGAUUAUUCCUUAAUUAACCCUACAACGUUCUAUUUUAGUUGUUGUAAGCUGGAUCUUAGUGGUUAAGAUUCUAAAUUUUUGCUUUUAGGUAUUAUUAAUGGUGAAGUGAAUUGAUAGUUUGCAAAUUAGUUUCACAUUUGUUGGUCAUGGGCACUUGGAAGAAAUUCUACCAUACAUUUUAGUUACUUUGCUGUAAAUUGUACUGCACUUAUAAUAUUUCUCUUGUUUAUUUCUUAGUACUUGGUGCUUAGUACUUUUGCUGUGAGUGUCUUGUAAAUGUUCCAAAAUGAAACUCAGAGUAGAAUACUGGCAUACUAGUGAGAUCUGUAUUGGUUUGUAAACCAUAAAUUGGUAAAAAUUAUUUCCAUUGAAAGUCAUAAAAUAAUGAUAUUGGUUACUAAAGGUCUUGCCAAAUUGAUUGCAUUUUAGUUAAUAUAAUUUCUGUUAAAGCACUAUGCUAUGUCAAUUAUUAUAGCCAAUUUGAGAUAGCUCAAUGUUGAGAUUUGCUAUUGUGUCUAAACCUUAACUACAGGUACACCCAUCAUUAUAGGUUAGAGAAUAGUCGUGAAAAAAAUAAUAAAAUAAAAUAAUAAAAUAAAAAACUAAAAAUAAUAAAAAAAUAAAAGGGAGAUUUGUUUCCUCUUUCACUUUCUCACCUAUUUAAACUUAUUUUUCUCUCCUAAAACUCGAAGCAAUAAUUUCUUUUUUUCUCUCUUACAACCUCUUGCCUCCAAAUUUCCCUCUCCUAAAAGCUCUUAAAAUUCUCUCAAUUACUCUAACAAAGAU